GAUGAACGCUGGCGGCGUGCCUAAUACAUGCAAGUAGAACGCUGAAGGAAGGAGCUUGCUCUUUCCGGAUGAGUUGCGAACGGGUGAGUAACGCGUAGGUAACCUGCCUGGUAGCGGGGGAUAACUAUUGGAAACGAUAGCUAAUACCGCAUAACAGUAGAUGUUGCAUGAUAUCUACUUAAAAGGUGCAAUUGCACCACUACCAGAUGGACCUUCGUUGUAUUAGCUAGUUGGUGAGGUAACGGCUCACCAAGGCGACGAUCCAUAGCCGACCUGAGAGGGGGAUCGGCCACACUGGGACUGCGACACGGCCCAGACUCCUACGGGAGGCAGCAGUAGGGAAUCUUCGGCAAUGGACGGAAGUCUGGCCGAGCAACGCCGCGUGAGUGAAGAAGGUUUUCGGAUCGUAAAGCUCUGUUGUAAGAGAAGAACGAGUGUGAGAGUGGAAAGUUCACACUGUGACGGUAUCUUACCAGAAAGGGACGGCUAACUACGUG
Molecule: ribosomal RNA, 497 nt
Filed under: uncultured bacterium
Lineage: Bacteria
Description: partial 16S ribosomal RNA
Rfam family: Bacterial small subunit ribosomal RNA
Source: RNAcentral